Molecule: ribosomal RNA, 1365 nt
Filed under: Pedobacter panaciterrae
Lineage: Bacteria; Pseudomonadati; Bacteroidota; Sphingobacteriia; Sphingobacteriales; Sphingobacteriaceae
Description: 16S ribosomal RNA
Rfam family: Bacterial small subunit ribosomal RNA
Source: RNAcentral
GAGCUUGCUCUUCAUGAAAGUGGCGCACGGGUGCGUAACGCGUAUGCAACCUACCUUAAUCAGGGGGAUAGCCCGAAGAAAUUCGGAUUAACACCGCAUAAAAACACAGGAUAGCAUUAUCCAAUGUUCAAAUAUUUAUAGGAUUAAGAUGGGCAUGCGUGUCAUUAGCUAGUUGGCGGGGUAACGGCCCACCAAGGCGACGAUGACUAGGGGAUCUGAGAGGAUGACCCCCCACACUGGUACUGAGACACGGACCAGACUCCUACGGGAGGCAGCAGUAAGGAAUAUUGGUCAAUGGAGGGAACUCUGAACCAGCCAUGCCGCGUGCAGGAAGACAGCCCUCUGGGUCGUAAACUGCUUUUAUUCGGGAAUAAACCUUAUUACGUGUAAUAAGCUGAAUGUACCGAAGGAAUAAGGAUCGGCUAACUCCGUGCCAGCAGCCGCGGUAAUACGGAGGAUCCAAGCGUUAUCCGGAUUUAUUGGGUUUAAAGGGUGCGUAGGCGGCUUAUUAAGUCAGGGGUGAAAGACGGUGGCUCAACCAUCGCAGUGCCCUUGAUACUGAUGAGCUUGAAUACACUAGAGGUAGGCGGAAUGUGACAAGUAGCGGUGAAAUGCAUAGAUAUGUCACAGAACACCGAUUGCGAAGGCAGCUUACUAUGGUGUGAUUGACGCUGAGGCACGAAAGCGUGGGGAUCAAACAGGAUUAGAUACCCUGGUAGUCCACGCCCUAAACGAUGAAUACUCGCUGUUAGCGAUAUACAGUUAGCGGCUAAGCGAAAGCGUUAAGUAUUCCACCUGGGGAGUACGCCCGCAAGGGUGAAACUCAAAGGAAUUGACGGGGGCCCGCACAAGCGGAGGAGCAUGUGGUUUAAUUCGAUGAUACGCGAGGAACCUUACCCGGGCUUGAAAGUUAGUGAAUCAUUUAGAGAUAGAUGAGUGAGCAAUCACACGAAACUAGGUGCUGCAUGGCUGUCGUCAGCUCGUGCCGUGAGGUGUUGGGUUAAGUCCCGCAACGAGCGCAACCCCUAUGUUUAGUUGCCAGCACGUUAAGGUGGGGACUCUAAACAGACUGCCUGUGCAAACAGAGAGGAAGGAGGGGACGACGUCAAGUCAUCAUGGCCCUUACGUCCGGGGCUACACACGUGCUACAAUGGAUGGUACAGAGGGCAGCAAGCUGGCAACAGCAAGCAAAUCUCAAAAAGCCAUUCACAGUUCGGAUUGGGGUCUGCAACUCGACCCCAUGAAGUUGGAUUCGCUAGUAAUCGCGUAUCAGCAAUGACGCGGUGAAUACGUUCCCGGGCCUUGUACACACCGCCCGUCAAGCCAUGGAAGUUGGGGGUACCUAAAGUAUGUAACCGUAAGGAG